UCCGGCUUAACGCCGGCAGUUUCCUUAGAGUUCCCAGCAUAACCUGUUGGUAACUAAGGAUGAGGGUUGCGCUCGUUGCGGGACUUAACCCAACAUCUCACGACACGAGCUGACGACAGCCAUGCAACACCUGUUUACACCCAACUAAAUGAGGAAAUCAUCUCUGAUAACCGCAGUGUAAAUGUCAAGGCCUGGUAAGGUUUUUCGCGUUGCAUCGAAUUGAACCACAUGCUCCACCGCUUGUGCGGGUCCCCGUCAAUUCCUUUGAGUUUUAAUCUUGCGACCGUACUCCCCAGGCGGGAUGCUUAACGCGUUAACUACAACACCGAGCCAUAAAGACCCGACGUCUAGCAUCCAUCGUUUACGGCGUGGACUAC
RNAcentral lists this unclassified non-coding RNA (377 nucleotides) under uncultured Rickettsiales bacterium. RNAcentral's name for it is "contains 16S-23S intergenic spacer region". The record is from RNAcentral. Lineage: Bacteria; Pseudomonadati; Pseudomonadota; Alphaproteobacteria; Rickettsiales.